AGUACCAGCUUUGGGACCUGUUGCCUGUGUGAUUGUGGAAAACACUUCAGCUCUCAGGGGGGCUUCUUAGCUGGAAAGUGGGGGUAAAACAGUAACCCCUGUCAGAUGAGAAGAUGCCAGCCUUGAGCAAGAUAAAGCACGUUAUGAAUGGCUGUUGGUGGUGGUUCUCUGUUUCACUCUUCUGCCUCCCUCAUUCCCUGCUCCUCCUGGGCUUGAAAAUCAGUCAUUGUGAUCUCCUCCUCUGCUGCCCAGCCCAGUCCUGCUGUCGUGCCUGGAACGUAACUCCCACAA
Molecule: long non-coding RNA, 291 nt
Filed under: Homo sapiens (human)
Lineage: Eukaryota; Metazoa; Chordata; Mammalia; Primates; Hominidae
Description: non-protein coding lnc-CTNND2-9:1
Source: RNAcentral